Molecule: long non-coding RNA, 7276 nt
Organism: Amphiprion ocellaris (clown anemonefish)
Lineage: Eukaryota; Metazoa; Chordata; Actinopteri; Pomacentridae
Source: Ensembl
GUGUCACAUAAUAAUUGACAGCAAAAAGUCAAAAACGUAUUUAAAUAUUCUAACAUAAAAGGUUGAGUUCCUCCUGGUCAACAGGAGAGAAGAGCUUUAAACUUGUUUCAGUUUACAGUCUGAAGUUGCUGAAAUGGUAGUAUGAACAUUAUUUCAAAUUUUAUAUAUAAAAUACUCCAGUGGCUUUAAUAGGUGAAUUGUUCAGGUAUAAUAAUGACCCAAGCUGGAUUUCCAUCCAAAUGCAGGGCAAAUUUUUUACCAUAUUUGGAAAAAAAUUUCCAAUAAUAAAGAGCAAAUUAAGGGCUGUUUGUAUCCACCACAGUCUUAAUAGAAGAGUCCUCAGUUUAAUUGUUUAGUCACCAAGUCUGUCUCCAUUUGUCAUUGUCAAAUGUAGUUCUCAUUAUUUUCGUCCAGUUUUUGCUGUUUUUGGUCAGGGUUUUCUACGUGCAAAAAAAAGGUAGAUGGAAAUGCAAAUAUAGAAGAAAUCUAAAAAUCACAAGUAGAAAACGUACAUCAGUAGGAAGAAUUUAAUAGAGGGCUAAAAUGUUUAGUCAGUAGAAGAAAAAUGAACAGCGCAAUCUGAACUGCAAUUUUUUAAACAAAAUAGUUAAAAAGAAAGCCUCAUAUUUGUGUAUAUUUGCUGCUUUAGCUUCUUGUGUAUCAGUGUGAACUAAAUAUUUGGAUGUGAGUGGAGAGAUCUAGUACUUUUGGUCAAUAUCAUCUUCAGCUCAGAUACUUAAUGGUUUACAUGUCUAAACUUAAUUAUGUUUAAUUGAAAAAUUAUCUUUGAGUCACACAAUAAUGAAAAUAAUUUGUAGUGAGUCAUAUCUGCAGCAAACUCUCAGAAUAUGUUGUUUGUUUCUUAGUAAAUAUUCAAAAUGAUAGCUGUUACCACAGUUUUUGACUGCGUUCUGAGGACUUCUCAAGUGAAUACAACGUUCCAUCUGACUUGAGUGCAGGACUUUGGUUACAUGAAAUCAGAUGACCUUCAUAAGGUACUUUAAAUCACGUCCAUGUCCAGCUCCCACAUCAAUGUUGACAGCCUCACCAACCCGUCACUGCCCUGGAAGAAGGACAUGGGAUGCAUGUCAAAGCUCUGGGAAUCAGCAGAUUUGAUACUGAAGCUGGAGAGUGAAUUUCCAUGCUCACUGUAUCCUACUUCAUGCAGGACAAACAGAGAGAAAAGUGAGGAACUCCAAUCACACUGGACGGGCUAAUUCGGCUGUAGAAUAACCAUAAAUUCGUCACAUUUAUGUUAACGAGUAUUGUGGCAUUUGAACUCAGUUUCUAAGGAUUUCAUAGAUUCGACCAGACUGUCUGGCAGCCUGUAGGCCGAACAAACUCACAGCAGGAAAACUGGACGGUGUCCAGCCUCAGAUAAGCUACACAGCUCAGUUACCUCUCAUCACUACGCAAUACAGCUGCAGCACAGCACAGCACCACCUGGGUGCUCUGAUCCACCCACACAGAUCUCUGUCAGUCUACUCAGAUAUUUUUAUAAACUGGCAUGUCUUUAUUGUUUUCUUUGUUAGUUUUUCUCAGACACUUUCUUGCUCUGACAAUGUGUGACAGAAGACAGAAGGUUAUUGUUCAAGGAGGUCUACACAGUGUCAUGACCCAGUCAGCCAUCUGUCGCAGUUAAUGAUGCACUAAAUCUGCUGCUUUAACUCAGUCUCACUUUUAGAGAGUCAAACUAGUUUCCUUUCAUGAAAACAGAACAAGGUAGAAGUCUUCUUUCACUGGUUCAGUGCAACUACUUGUUCACUCCACAGACAUAACAUAGUUAGCCAGGGCUGAUUCAUUAAUGUUGCCUAUCUAUCCUAAGUUGGUAUUAAGGAAACACAGAAAAUCAUCAUUAGGUUGUAUUCUGAUAUAUUUUUUCUGUGUAUAAAUUGUACUUUUACUGAUCCGCUGGUUUCACUUGAUGUCCUUUGCAAAUGGAAGUGUUUGCAAAGUCUGUAGACUCAAAUUUGAGCUGAUGCUUUUUAAGCUUUUUUUGUUGUUUUUUUUUUUUAAAUAGCUGGUAGUCUGAAAUUUCCUGUAGCACAUUCAAACCUUCACUGCUAAACAAGUUAGCAGUUGAUCUUGACCUUUUACCAUCAGUUCUAGCAAUUUUUUUUCAUCAGCAGACUUAAUAGCUAGUAAAAUGCAACAAAUCCUGUAAUGAAACUAGUGCAAGUCACAAGAAGACAAAAAGAACACUUCUGCACUUCAAGACUAGUUUGUGAAAUGUUCGCUCGUGAACAGUUAAUUAGCCCCUCCAACCAGAAGUUAGAACAGUUAGCAUAUGAGAAAGACUGUGUCUGAAAUGAAACCUCUUGAUCACACAUUUUACUCCCUCUAUAACUGACAGUGAACAGUGAGCAGUAAAGGAAGAUUUUGGACAGUCAAAAUCCUAAACCGUAGUUACCACUGUGGGCAGAUUUACACACAGAAUUUCCAAUAAAAUGGUGAGCAGUAGACAGUGUAGUGUGCCGUUAACAGAGUGAUUUUGGACAUGGCUGAGUAUAUACACCGAAUAUAUGUUGAACCAACAGUGGCCUAAUGCUGGUGGACUGAGUGCUGUAGAGGCAGUGCAUCAUUGACUACAGAAGGUUCUGAUCUGAGUUGACAUUGGUCAGAUAGCGACAGGACAAGGAGCCAGACUCUGUCAGACCAGAUGGAUGUAGUGGCCAGGCCACGGAGCUGGAUUAAAAACCAUUUCCAGAGGUCAAAGUUCACCUACAGGAGGGUGGGAGCAGGUUGGAUUACCUGGCAACCAAAGGAAAGGCGGCGGCUACGUUGGCCCUCCCAAAUGCCAAAACAACUUCAGCACUUACCGGCAAGAGAGAGACGGGGUUGGAAACUUUUUUAUAAAAACUGAACAAUGACAGAUCUACACAUAUUAUCAGACGAACAUAUUUAAACUACUAAGAUGUUUUUUCAUAUGACUAAUGUAAACAAGCUAAGAGUUGAAUUCAGAUGUAGGGUAGGUAGGCAGGUAGCACACAGAUCGGCUGUUACUGUUUUUCUAUAGAGCUGUGAAUCGGAUUCUCAGUGGAUGGUAAAUUUUUUUAUGCAAGUCAAGCCAGUGGCUCUGUCCUCACUCCGAGUGGCUUGAAUUUUCCUCACAGAUCCCACUGCAGCCGCUGCCACGCUCACACUUCAGGCUAAACCAGGAUCUAUCAGGUAUACAGACUCUUUUCUUUUGUUCAGUGAAUCAGACGUUUACCUUUCCCAACGUAGCAGAACGGUAACGGCUAAACCUCAGAGCGAUCUGCAUGCCGCAGAAAUACUACUCACCUGUACACAAACACAAGCAGCAGGUAAGAAAUCCUUGUGAGUCACUGCACAGGAUGAUAGAACACACAAACCAGGGCUGGGCAAUAUGGAUCAAAACUCUAAUCAUGACAACCACAAGACCUCUUUCAGCUCUCUGCAGCCACAGAAAAUAUAGGUAUCCAUUGAACUCCUGUCACAGUUUUUGUCAAUUUAUGACUACUGUGGUGAUCUUAACAUGUAAUCUGUAUUUAUUUUCAGAAAUCAAAGCAACUUGUUGUGUGUCAUUACACACAUCUCACAGUGGUUUCAUGUUUCACUUGAAGUUGACUGGUUAAAAUUUAGUGUGUUGAAUAGAAAAAGGACUUUCAGCUGACAUUUGACCAGAAAUUCCAACUGGCAAGGAAUCAAAAAGUCUGAUCACAGUGACUUUUGCAGGAAAUUUUUUAUGAGGUCUGAAUGGUUAUUAGGGUUCUAAAUAAUAAAUUGUCUCUAGCUGUUGGUAGAAUUCAGCCAAAAAAAGAUACAUAACUAUAAAUGAGUUUAACCAUAAUAUGAAACAAAAUAUCUGCUCUAAUAACUCAGGCUAGAAUACAAACUGAGGAAUGACUUUGCCCAAAACAAUUGUAAAUUUUAACUGUUUUCUACACAAGUUACUUUCAGCUCCUCAUGCAUUAGUUUUUGUUCGAGCGACAAGUGGGCAACUUUUAAAAAGGAGAGGAGGUGAGCCUGUUUAUUCAUACACUUUCUUAAAGUUCUUCUCUGGUUGUCAAUUUAUUCCCUAAAAACUCAUAUCUGUGUAUCAGAAUUAAGAGUGAAAAAUAAUCCCUUCCUGCGCUCAAAUGGCAUAGAUGGAACUUGAGAUUGUUGUUUCCUCUAGAAUGUGCAGAUCUAUGACAUCCCUACCUCUGUCCAUGCACCCAUCCCUACUUACUGCAACUCCAGCACACCACUCCAACAUCCUUGUUUGACCUUGAAACCAACUCUGCAGUUCCGUCCUGCAAGUUAACAGGAUUGGUUCCUUCAAUUUCUUACGAAUGAAGCCCUAGGAGUCUGAAUCUGUGUUUUUGAGACUGUCAUCACUGCAGUCUCAAGGUGAAAAUGCUCACCCAUGGCGCUGACUGCUUACUUAAAAUGUUAUUUUCACCGGAGGGAGUCUUUAAAGAAACCUGUUAAUUGUGGCUCAAUCUGUGUUUUUAAAUGCAUGAAGAAACAUUUUACUCCAUGGAUCAAUCAUAGAAAAACCGUCCAAGAAAUCUUUUUGACAAUCUAUAAAAAAUAAAAGUUGGCCAUGUUGCCCAGCUCCAACAUGAACACAAACUGUUUGUUCUGCAAAACCUCCUGGAACAAACAGAUUCAAUUAACUCUCAUCAUUUUUAAUUCUUGGUAUUAAGUAUGUUUUGAAGUAAAGAUAUGUUGCAGUUUCAAAGAUGCCCUUGGCCUUUUCUGUGUUCCAUAUUGUACUGAGUUUUGUUGGCUUUCUGCUCUCUGCACUGAGGUGUUCUGAAGUACUAAGGACUUGGUCUCAGAAUGCAAUACAUCAUUUCAAGCCAGUUAAAGUCCAGAACAAGCUGCUUUCGGACAGCAGGUCCAGUCUGGUUCAGUCUAGUCCUGCUAGCGGAAUCUAAAGAAGGAAAAGUCGCAUCAGUUGUGUUCAUGAACCACUGUGUUUUAAACCUGAUCACAACUUGAAUUUUUAUUGAGAACUCACAUUACACAUUAGCAGGUUUUCUCAAUGUCAACAUUUAAUCAGAAUUUUCUCCUUAAAUUAGAGCUUUUGUAUAUUCAGAUAUGUAUGUUGUCAUGUUGUUUCAGAGAAUGAAUCAGACCUCACCUGUUUAUCUGCCCGAAUGGCUGCUGUUUAUUUCUGCAGAGUAUUAUUCUGUACCACAGUCGCAUUUGUUAAGAUAAGUGAAGACUUUCUGAUUGGUGCAACAUCAUCCAAGUUAUCCACGAUAGGAGAACUAGUGAAACAGAGAAAAAAAAAUCUGCAUUCUGAUGACCACUUUCCCAUUUGAAAUCAGUGUUCACAGCAACAUCCAAGUUGUAAUUAUGACUUUCACUGAGUUCCAUAUCUGAUUUAGAGUUUAAAAGUAUGAAGCAAAACUUGUCAAUUUGUAUUAGCCAAAAUCUUCUGUUGAAGGUAAUUAAACACUAAAAUAUAAUUGAUACAGUGCAGGUAUUUUUCAGCCUCACAUGUUCAGCUCCAACUGGCACUCAGAUUACAUGAACUUAUAUUGGACAUAAUUAGUGUUUCUAGCAAACAGUUUGCCUGAUGGGUAGUCUGAGGCUUUUUAAAGUGGAGUAUCAUUUGUAUCUUUCAAUUUGCCCGAUGACCUGAACACUGACAAGUCAGAAACAUGUACAUCUGGUACAUUCUAGUUAGUGUUGUAAUUACUGUUGUCUAGAUUCAUCAUCACACCUACAGCUACGUGAUUUCAAUAUCGGGCUGUUUACCAUCCAAACAGUAACAAGUUCAUAAAGGCAGCGACUGUGAAAGUUUCAGUAACUCGCAGCUCAAAAUACGAUGUUUUCUCCUCAGUGAUUCCUCAUUUCAGUUCACUUCCACUUUCAUCUUCAAACUGUGAAAACAAGCUGAACCUCAUCAUCAUUGUCUUCAUGCUCUGGUCUUUGAGUCAGUUAAGGCUCUACUUUAUCUCAAAGUCAGUUUGCUUUACAACAAAAUGCCAAGCUUUGGUUUCAUGUUUCUUUGGCUUCAGUCUGAAACUUUUGGCUUUUUUUUGUUUGCUUUUUAUUGUGUGAAUCCAAUGUUUUGCAUAAGAAUAUCCAGUAACCUUGACCACAACAUGCCUAAUUAUAAAUCAAAUCAUUUAGAUAUAUUCACUUAAUGAGAUUACUCUUUACUGUUGAUUCCUCAAAGUAUAUCUUAAUAUAUCGAAGCAGAAAAUGAGUCAAAGAAAAAAAUGGAGUUUAGUAAAUUAACUUUAUUAUUGUACAUUUUUUUUUAACGAGGAGGUACUUAACAAGUUCUGUAGUAGACAAACCUAAAAGGUUUUAUGUUAAGAUCUUUUAUGUUGCAUGUCUCUGUUGCUAAAACCUGUUGGUGGAGGGGGUGGGUGGGGUGAGGCCAAAGGUCCAUUAGUUUAGAAAAUGUGAAGAAGCUCCUUUCACUAUGACCACUAGAUCACUCACAGGUCGCAUCUCCUUCCAAGGAAAUAAAGCACUUUAAGUGUCAAACUGCAGUGACUCGUCUCUUUGUGUACCAGCAUUUAUUACACUGCUUUCAUGGUGACACUACGCAGAAAAAUAAGCUUUCAGUCAUAUGAAAAAAUCCCAAUAUACAGCUCUAUUCCUGACAGUGUAUUGAUGAACGUUAUAACUUGUUAACAGGGCUAUCUACACCCCAGGAAGUAUUUCUGCAGUUACCAGGUGUGUUGACUGAAUAUAGAAGGUGGCCUUAGGCAUUUCAUUACCUCUUGUUUAAUGGACGACCAUUUUGAAUCCUUGACUUUGGCCUUUGACCUUGACCCUAAACAUACUCUAUUAACUCUUUUCCUAUAAACAGGACUGUAAUAUUCCACAUUAAUUCCACACUGUAUUGAACAAGACUUAAAGUUAGCAAUUGAAAUGAGAAACUGAUUUGGAGCAUGAAUGCUAAACUGACAGAUCAAGUGUUGUUUUCAAACAGACUUCUGUAUAAUUGUAAUUGUAGAUGGGUCGCCCCAUAUGAGCCAGAUUCUGCUCAAGGUUUCUUCCUGUUAAAAGGGAGUUUUUUCUUGCCACUGUUGUCUUAGGGCUGCUCUGGGGGUUCAGGCAUAUGGGUUCUAUAAAGCAUCUUGAGAGAACUUGAAUUGUAAUUGGCGCAAUAUAAAUAAAAUUGAAUUGUAACGAAAGCUGUCUGUUUAGCACCCCACGUCUUGACAGUUCAUGUGCUCUACAGAACAAAUACAUACAUCAACCACAGUAUUCUUGCACAGCAGGGUAAGUCUACAGAAUUUUAUUUCAAGCUAACAUUUAGUUUCAAUCAGAUCUUUUAUACAAAAGUUGGAUGUGGUCA